RNAcentral lists this transfer RNA (63 nucleotides) under Ictidomys tridecemlineatus (thirteen-lined ground squirrel). Its description in RNAcentral is "Spermophilus tridecemlineatus (thirteen-lined ground squirrel) tRNA". It matches the Rfam family "tRNA", at positions 5 to 66 of the family's 71-position model. From Rfam's summary of the family: Transfer RNA (tRNA) molecules are approximately 80 nucleotides in length. Their secondary structure includes four short double-helical elements and three loops (D, anti-codon, and T loops). Further hydrogen bonds mediate the characteristic L-shaped molecular structure. tRNAs have two regions of fundamental functional importance: the anti-codon, which is responsible for specific mRNA codon recognition, and the 3' end, to which the tRNAs corresponding amino acid is attached (by aminoacyl-tRNA synthetases). tRNAs cope with the degeneracy of the genetic code in two manners: having more than one tRNA (with a specific anti-codon) for a particular amino acid; and 'wobble' base-pairing, i.e. permitting non-standard base-pairing at the 3rd anti-codon position. The record is from Rfam by way of RNAcentral. Lineage: Eukaryota; Metazoa; Chordata; Mammalia; Rodentia; Sciuridae.
AUGUAGCUCAGUGGUAGAGCGCCUGCCUAGCAUCUGAUAGGUCCUGGGUUCAAUUCCUAGCAU